CGCACGGGUGAGUAACACGUAUCCAACCUGCCGUCUACUCUUGGCCAGCCUUCUGAAAGGAAGAUUAAUCCAGGAUGGCAUCAUGAGUUCACAUGUCCGCAUGAUUAAAGGUAUUUUCCGGUAGACGAUGGGGAUGCGUUCCAUUAGAUAGUAGGCGGGGUAACGGCCCACCUAGUCAACGAUGGAUAGGGGUUCUGAGAGGAAGGUCCCCCACAUUGAAACUGAGACACGGUCCAA
RNAcentral lists this ribosomal RNA (237 nucleotides) under uncultured bacterium. Its description in RNAcentral is "partial 16S ribosomal RNA". It matches the Rfam family "Bacterial small subunit ribosomal RNA", at positions 99 to 334 of the family's 1533-position model. The record is from RNAcentral.